This 4460-nucleotide unclassified non-coding RNA is filed under the name Hevea brasiliensis (rubber tree). The record is from RNAcentral. Lineage: Eukaryota; Viridiplantae; Streptophyta; Magnoliopsida; Malpighiales; Euphorbiaceae.
UUUUAAGAGAAACAAGCCUUUCCAUAUUUAAAAAGAAUUAACAAAUAUUUUAGAAUAUUGUGUAAACCCACUGACCAAAAAUGAAUAUAAAGGAGGAAAAAUGAUGAUUAAUAUAAAGAUAAUCAAAGAAAGGAAUUUACAAUUAAGACGAAGCUUUGAGCAGUGAUAAUUAUGCAGGAUUCUAGCUAGUAUAAAGGAAAGUCUUCUGCACAACUCUCUGCUUCAAAAACACUUGGGUGUAUUUCCUAAGUAACCAACAAAAACACAUAAGCUUUCUUAUCGUAUGAAUAUGUCACCAAGUCAGAUUAUUAUCUUCUUUAUAUAUCCUUUGUAAAUCUCAUAACGCACUUGACUUCUUCCACAUCACCAGGGACUUGAGGAACUCCAUCACCUCUGAUGGGUCCCUUAGAGAGUAAAAUGCAUUGGUUUCCUUUGGCACUGAUGAUACUAAAAUACCAAAACCACAGUUCCUUUCUCUCAAAACCUUAAAUGCAUCUUCAUCUGUCCGGUCAUCUCCAACAUAAAUUGGAAGCACAUCAUCACAAUUGCUUAGACCAAGUGAUUCAAGCAGAAACGUGACAGCUUUCCCCUUAUCCCAAUUGAUCACAGGUCGGACCUCUAAAACCUUCCUCCCAUGAGUCAAUCGCAGGCGUGGAUAGUUUUUUAUGACAUCAUAGACACACUGUGCAACUGAUGUCCAACUCUUAUCAUCUACAUUACGGUAAUGAACAGAUACACAGAACUUGUUGUUUUCAACUUUUGCUCCUUUAAUGUCUUUUGUACUCUCAACAAGGGAACUAUAUACCUCAUCAAUCAUGGGUAAAAAUUCACUAGCUGGUUGGAACAAAUUAACUUCCUUGCCCUCAUUGUCAGUAGACCUCAUACAAUUUGGCUGGUCAUCGGGCACAGAUUGUCUAACAGGGCCCAUGAUGUCCAUCCCAUGACUACCCGCAUAAUAGAGUUCUGUUAGUCCUACAAACUCAUGUACCUUAUCACGGCUUCUCCCACUAAUUAUUGCUGUUGGGAAACAUUUUGCUACCUUCUUUACAGCAGAACGCAUAGCGUUAGACAUGAAUGCGCAGUCAGGGUUGUCAACAAUUGGUGAAAGAGUCCCAUCAUAAUCCAGAAACAAUGCUAAUCUCUUGCCUUUUGCAAAGUUUGCAAUUUGCUCAAAAAAUGUAAGCGCUGAUGGAUACUUAAGCGUCCAGGUGGCAUAGGCAACAUCAGUAUCAGCUGAGGCAAACUCAUUACUGAGAUCUUUGGUUAUUCUCUUGUGAGGAGGGGAUGAGGAUUUCAUAGCAUCAAGCCAGCUACUAGAGCGAACGUCAUCUAAUACUCCAGUUUUCUUCCUAGGGAUAGUUAGAAAUAAAUUUGACGAAAAAGCAGCUCCGGGAUUGUAAGGCAACAAACUGGAAUGCACGCCCAAUCUUGAUUUGCUUAUGGGUGCAGAGUCAGUGAGAACAGGAGCAUUGUGGUUGGAUUUAAGGUCCAUUUGAUCCAGAUUUCUAAAGCAAUUUAUGAGAGACAAAUGAAGUAAAAGUUUACAGCAGACAAUCCUUUCAAAAGAGAAGCAGUAGAGGAUUUCAGUAAGAAAUCUCAGAUAUCUCUUCACCCAACUCUUUUAUCAAUGAAAAACCACCUCUUCAAAGUGCUCUUAUCACUGCUAGCAGGCGAGCAGUCCAUCAAGCACAGAAGUCCUGGAGGUUAUCAUCUCCCUAGUCACCAUAUAAACAAAUGUUCGAGUCUAAGAACAGAGUUUGGCUUUAGCUCAGAUUCGUUAGAAAUCUUCAACCUCCACACUGAUUUGAGCUCCCUCUUCCCUUGUAAGUUAAAACAAAUUAUCCAUUUUCAUUAUCUGCUAUUAAAGCAUGUCUUCCAACAUCUUCUGCAGCAUCAAAAAAAUAUUUCACUGCCAAGAGAGAAUUUAAUUUCCACCAUUCUUGUGAUUUCCCAAAUUAUGCAUUCGGUAGCAAAAAAUAUAUAUAUAUAAAGCCAUCCCUAAUUUUUUUUUUGGAAUCCAAAGGAAUAAGAAAUGAGAAUCAAGUCCACCUAACCCGACGCUCUGCAAAAUAUUUGAGCCAGUGAAUUAAGGUCAAUGAGAAAGCAUCAAACAAAUUGAUGAACAUAUCACCCCAAAUAUUUGUCAGUAUAAAAUUGAUGACCUAGAAAAACUUGAAUUUUACUUUUAAAAAAGAAACUGUAAAAAUGAAAAGCCUGACAAUUGUUUUGGCAUUAUUUAAGUGGCACAAUUAAUUCCGCAACACAUUAACAGUUUCAAUAUUUCAAGUUUAAGCUCUCAGAAACCUUUUAUGUUCCCUGUACUCUAACUACCAGAAACACAAUGAUGGUACUAAAUAAUAUUGAAAAGAAGAAGAAGAAGAGGAGGAGUAAAAAGGAGAAGAAAAGUUAAACAAACAUAUAAAUAAGCAGGGUUAGACUUGCAGGGGAAAAAGAAAAGCUUAAAAUGCAUUUCUUUUCUAGUGUCGAAACACAUAAAACUGUAAAUCACCUAAAGCAUAUAGAAAAUAAACAAUAAACAAGCACACUAGCCAAUCUAUAGCCAAGAAAGAAAGAAACCAAAAAACAAAUAGUGUUCAGCGUUUAAAACUGGCCCACAAAGUUUACAUCUGGUAGAGAAAAUAUUAGCCAUUCCAUGGUUGUGUAUAAUAAAAAGCUAUUCAUACCCCACCCACUGGAGACAAAGCAUUACCAUAUGCAACCACAUAUCAUGGGCCUACAUCAAGCAUGGAAUCAUUAAACAAAUGGACCCAACAAGUAAAAAAAUAUUUAGGAAUAAUAAUAAUAAUAUAUAAUAUAAGAUAUCUUCAUUGUAUUGUUGCUAUCAUACAUUCUACUGUGACCACUAACAUCAAAAUUUCCAAAAACAGAAUUUUUAAACAUCAUAAUUACAUUGGCGCAUAAUUAGCUUUGACGCAACUUACAAAUCAGAACCAAUUGUAAUAUACAGUUUUCUUAACGUCUUCUUUUGAAUAUAUGGUCAAGAUUCAAGGUAAAAAUUUUGAAAAGCACCAAUGUUGUAUAUUAUCCAAGAUUUGAAAAGUCUUUGUGGUCGCAACUUUAAAAAAAAAAUGGACAUUAGACCAGACAUUACUCAAUAAAAUUACGGUGCAGAGUGGUUGACAUAUGAAAUGUUUUGAAAAGGGAGAAAAAUCAAGGACAAAAACAAAAUAUAAAUCACAUCAUUGCAAAUAUAGCUAGAGAGAAUCAGAUUAGAAUCAAUCUUAAACCGUAUCGGUUUUUGCGGUCGGGAAAAAACUGAAAAAAAUAAAAAAAUAAAAAAACUGAACAAACCAAUCAUGUAUGUUUCAGUCAAGCCAGAAAACCUGCUGCAUAUAAUUAAAAUACGAAAAUUUAUAAAAUAAAUGUUGGAGAAAAAGAAAUCCAUAAUUUUUUUAUAUUACCAAACAUAACACGGAAAUCAAAAUUUUCCAAGCAGAAAAGCGGCGAUUGAAUAAAAAGGUUAAGCAUAAAGAAAAGAUGAUAACAAUAACGGAGUAGGCGAGAGACAGAGAGAUAUACACAAAGUAAGGUGAAAGAGAAAACCUUUUGGGGAAAAUAUUUAGCAAAUACUGAAACCAGACGGCAUUACUUGCGAAAAUAGAAUCUUGAAGAAGAAGAAAAUUGAAAUGUACCUAAUCUUUUUGGAGUUAUAGUCCAAAAGGGAAAAUCAAAAUACGAAUCCCGAAGCAAUCGUCAAAAUGCAGGCACCUUCAAUGACAAUAAUGCAAAAAAUCAGUGAUGGCAAUUAACCAGAUGAAGUCAAAGUACGACACCGUUUGACAGCCGAGAAUGCACGGAAAACGAAAGUAACCUGUCAAACACAAUUCUUUCAAUGCCUUUUUCUUUUUCGACCUGUUUCCCAGCAACAAAAUGAAGGGGAGAAGAGAGUAGUACAGAGCUGCAAAGAAAAAAGAAAACCCUAGAAAUCGCAGAGAACGCGAACAAGAAUCAAGCUAAAGAACGUCGAUGCAUAACCGAGAAGCAAGAUUGAGAGGAGAAGAAGAGUAAGGUUAGCCUAGAAUAGAGCAGGGGUAUUUAUAGUUUCGAUUUUGACGAACGCGUUUAACAAGGCAACCCGGUUGUUGAAUCAGGAAGCACCGCAAUUAAAAAUUCAAAACCCGACGAAAAUAUUUCUUGAUAUUACACGCUCCAAUUAAUGCUCGAGUAAAUCCAUUAGCGCAUGGUUGAGAUCGUUGUUUAAUUUUGAUUUGCUGGGAGGAGAAGAAGAGUAAGGUUAGCCUAGAAUAGAGCAGGGGUAUUUAUAGUUUCGAUUUUGACGAACGCGUUUAACAAGGCAACCCGGUUGUUGAAUCAGGAAGCACCGCAAUUAAAAAUUCAAAACCCGACGAAAAUAUUUCUUGAUAUUACACGCUCCAAUUAAUGCUCGAGUAAAUCCAUUAGCGCAUGGUUGAGAUCGUUGUUUAAUUUUGAUUUGCUGG